GGACAUUAUUUUAAGUUCGGUGAUGUCCCAGUCCUCAUUUUUCCUAGACAUAAGAACGAAAUGUAUUUUACCGAAGAUAUUCCCAACAGCCGGCGCUAAGAAAGUCCGAGGUGAAGGAUCUAAUCCAAUCUGGAUGGAAGCUUAUGACAACGAGUUGUUAAAGCAGGAGCGAGAUAGAUUAAGGCAACUUUACUGAUGAUUACAGUUGUAUUGUUCCCGUUUCUAAACAUGUGAAGAAUCACUUACACAUCCGAGGCUGGUUCAGUAGUCUCAAAUCUUUUUGUCCCUAACUCUUCUCCCAUUGGCCAGUUUUUAAACCAAAACGAUCAAAUCCUGAUUUCAAAAUCCGCGGUCUUCUUCAAAUGGCCGACAAAACAGUUCGUCCAACCACCAAGAAUAUUGUCAUCGCUCCGCUCUCAGAUUCUUGUUCGCAUCAAGAGUCGUUUUCAUCAAAUAACUGUGAAGAACAGAAUGAAUUCCACAAUUUAAAACUGUAACAAUGGUAACAACUCUGUGUUAAAGCAUGUCUCUAUAAUUACGCCUACUUUUGAAACGUCAGAGCUGUAACAUCUAAAAACACCCUUACUUUUACCUUAUAAAAAACAUUUUGAACAGAUCAUGUGAGACAAAUAUUCUAUCCGUAAAAUGUAAAUUAUUUAAAUGUUAAUUUAAACACUAUUUAAACUCGUAUAAGUAUAAUGGUAAAAAUCAAUUUCAGUGUAUUGGUAUUCAAUCAGAUGUAGACAUAAAUCAUAUAGAGAUAUUAAACAAUACCAUAUCUGUGGCAUCCUAUUCUUUAUUUGCUUACCUUUGAUCUAUUGGCCUGUUAAUGCUUUUUUUCCUCAAAAAAUUGUAUAAUUACAUCUUAUUUUUAUUUGAUACGUUGAUUAAAUCUAUUAUUAGCCUUCGUAAGAUUUCGAUUAAAAUUACUUUUUAUAGAGGGCGCUGUGGCUCUAAACAGAUCUUUCUCAUUAAUCAUGGGAAAAAGUUCUUUGUGUCUAUGAGUGUUUAUUUGUUUUGUUGAGAUGUAGUAAACCAAAUAAACGACAUAUUGGAUAUUCUAUG
Limulus polyphemus (Atlantic horseshoe crab) is the source of this 1065-nucleotide RNA transcript. RefSeq lists it as uncharacterized. Lineage: Eukaryota; Metazoa; Arthropoda; Merostomata; Xiphosura; Limulidae. The transcript is spliced from 4 exons. The record is from RefSeq and is a predicted model, not a curated record.